Molecule: non-coding RNA, 80 nt
Organism: Arabidopsis thaliana x Arabidopsis arenosa
Lineage: Eukaryota; Viridiplantae; Streptophyta; Magnoliopsida; Brassicales; Brassicaceae
Source: the annotation of a GenBank genome assembly
GGAUGCGAUCAUACCAGCACUAAUGCACCGGAUCCCAUCAGAACUCCGCAGUUAAGCGUGCUUGGGCGGAGUAGUACUAG